Peromyscus maniculatus bairdii (prairie deer mouse) is the source of this 1263-nucleotide non-coding RNA. The record is from RefSeq and is a predicted model, not a curated record. NCBI's taxonomy places the organism in Eukaryota, Metazoa, Chordata, Mammalia, Rodentia, Cricetidae.
GUCCCGAAGGUUCUACAGCUUUAGUCAGUAAAGGGCACAACAGUAACCAGCAUUUUGACUAAGGGAUGCCUAGGAGUCAUGCUGACAUCAUUUUUAAAACAAACAUUUGUCCUCAUGUGAAUGACCCCAAAUGUUUCUGGCAAUGUUCCCUGCACAAAAUGUGAAAAGUGCCCAUGAAGGUUUGAGGUGAUGGAUCCCUUGCAACAGGAACUGGGAGUUACAGGUGGUUAUAAGGCAAACAAGAAGGAUUUACUUGUUUGAUUAAGCUCUGUAGUGAAGGUUCUACCUGAGUUAUGAGCAAGUCCUGUGGUGGGCAGGAGGAACCAGUACAACAAUGAGCAUAGAACCACAAGUUCACUGUUCAAGUUCUGGCUAUGUGACUCUGGGUGCAUAAAACCCUGGCAUUGCUAUGAAGUAGCUCACUCCAAAACACAUCAGAUUAUCUGGAGUUUUACAAUGACAAAAUAGGAAUGUUGUGGGAUACAUGUACACUGUGAAGAUGUAUUCCUGUGAUUGGUGUAAUAAAAAGCUGAACAGCCAAUAGCUAGGCAGGAGACUUCUGGGACUUCCAGGCAGAGAGAGAACACUGGGAAGAAGACAGAGACACCAGCCAGAUGGAGAAGAAGGAGGAUGAGUACAGAAUAAAGGGGCCUCCCUCUUCAUUUUUCACUUAGGACCUAUCACCACCUAGUGGACUGAGUAGGAAUACACCAAUGCAUCACCACAGUGGCUCACCACUUCCGUUUCAGAACAAACCACUCGAUGGAGUCUUCAGAAUCAGAGAAGAGCUCCUGUAUCUAAAAAAUGCAGUUGGAUAAUUGUAACCACACAAAAUACAAAUAUUUAUACAAAUAACAGAUGCCAUGUACUCAAGAUAAUGCAUUGAUUAAAGAAAAACAAAAAUCUUUUGUAGGAAGCAUGGCACUGGUGUUACAAUAAGCUUUGGCUCCCAAAGAUUAACCUAACAAAAUAAAUUUACCAAGCUUAAUUCAACAAGAUAUGAAAUUUAUAACGCCUCAUGACUACAUGAAAUAUUUCCCCCAAGGUUAUAUGGCUCAUUCAAUUUUCAAACUCCAAACCACAUCAACAAAGCAUACAUCAAGAUGCAUAAAUUGUAUUAAAACACUUGGACAUUGUUCAUAAUAAAAGUCCUACCAGCUGGGCGGUGGUGGCGCAUGCCUUUAAUUCCAACAUUCAGGAGGCAGAGACGGGUGGACCUCUGAGUUCGAGGCCAGCCUGCCUGGUCUAUAGAGAGAGUUCUAG